CCGGAGGCGUCCUUCAGCUGACCCCUAAACAAAUAUAUACUGGUUCAGUGAUAAUGAACCCAAUACUAAACUCCAAAUUGUACACAAGAAACUAAAAGUUAAAAUAAUACAAGACUAACAAAGGCCAGAGGCUCCUGACUUGGGACAGGCGCAAAAAUGCGGCGGGGUUAAACAUGUUUGUGAGAUCUCAACCCUCCCCCUAUACCUCUAGCCAAUGCAGAAAAGUAAAUGCAUAACAAUACGCACAUUAAAAUUCAGCCCAAGAGAAGUCCGAGUCUGAUGUCAGAAG
Molecule: long non-coding RNA, 289 nt
Filed under: Mytilus galloprovincialis (Mediterranean mussel)
Lineage: Eukaryota; Metazoa; Mollusca; Bivalvia; Mytilida; Mytilidae
Source: RNAcentral